CACGCAGUAAACGAUGAUGACUAACCGCCGGCGAUAUACGGUCGGAGGCCAAGCGAAAGCGAUAAGUCAUCCACCUGGGGAGUACGACCGCAAGGUUGAAACUCAAAGGAAUUGACGGGGGCCCGCACAAGCGGAGGAACAUGUGGUUUAAUUCGAUGAUACGCGAGGAACCUUACCCGGGCUCGAACGGGCCGGAAAAGCGCGGGAGACCGCGCGUCGCAGCAAUGCGGCCGGCCCGAGGUGC
RNAcentral lists this ribosomal RNA (244 nucleotides) under uncultured bacterium. RNAcentral's name for it is "partial 16S ribosomal RNA". It matches the Rfam family "Bacterial small subunit ribosomal RNA", at positions 796 to 1041 of the family's 1533-position model. The record is from RNAcentral.